AGCGAACGCUGGCGGCGUGCCUAACACAUGCAAGUCGAACGUGAAAGGGAGCAAUCCCACGUCAAGUGGCGUACGGGUGAGUAACACGUAGGUAAUCUACCCCAGAAUCUGGAAUAACCGGCCGAAAGGCUGGCUAAUACUGGAUAGAGCGACGGAAUCCGUAAUUGGGUUUUUCGGGAAAGGGAGCCUGUAAAAAGGCCUUCGUUCUGGGAUGAGCCUGCGUCCCAUCAGCUAGUUGGUGAGGUAAAAGCUUACCAAGGCAAUGACGGGUAGCUGGUCCGAGAGGACGAGCAGCCACACUGGAACUGAAACACGGUCCAGACUCCUACGGGAGGCAGCAGGGGGGAAUCUUGCGCAAUGGACGAAAGUCUGACGCAGCAACGCCGCGUGAGGGAAGAAGGGCUUCGGGUUGGAAAGCUCUGUCGAGUGGGACGAAAAUGCUUGGAGUUCACAGCUCCAGGAACUGACGGUACCACUAAAGGAAGCACCGGCUAACUCCGUG
RNAcentral lists this ribosomal RNA (502 nucleotides) under uncultured bacterium. RNAcentral's name for it is "partial 16S ribosomal RNA". It matches the Rfam family "Bacterial small subunit ribosomal RNA", at positions 29 to 507 of the family's 1533-position model. The record is from RNAcentral.